GAUGAACGCUAGCUACAGGCUUAACACAUGCAAGUCGCGGGGCAGCAUGGGGGUUGCUUGCAAUCCCCGAUGGCGACCGGCGCACGGGUGAGUAACGCGUAUCCAACCUGCCCUUCACCACGGGAUAACCCGGCGAAAGUCGGACUAAUACCGUAUGUUGUCCAUUGACGGCCUCCGAUUUGGACGAAAGGUUUGGCGGUGAAGGAUGGGGAUGCGUCCGAUUGGCUGGACGGCGGGGUGACGGCCCACCGUGGCGACGAUCGGUAGGGGUGCUGAGAGGACGGUCCCCCACACUGGAACUGAGACACGGUCCAGACUCCUACGGGAGGCAGCAGUGAGGAAUAUUGGUCAAUGGGCGUAAGCCUGAACCAGCCAAGGAGCGUGCAGGAUGACGGCCCUAUGGGUUGUAAACUGCUUUUAUGCGGGGAUAAAGUGGCCCACGUGUGGGUUUUUGCAGGUACCGCAUGAAUAAGGACCGGCUAAUUCCGU
Molecule: ribosomal RNA, 489 nt
Filed under: uncultured bacterium
Lineage: Bacteria
Description: partial 16S ribosomal RNA
Rfam family: Bacterial small subunit ribosomal RNA
Source: RNAcentral